This 233-nucleotide unclassified non-coding RNA is filed under the name Hygrophorus sp. RNAcentral describes it as "partial contains 5.8S ribosomal RNA, internal transcribed spacer 2, and large subunit ribosomal RNA". The stretch from base 1 to 52 matches the Rfam family "5.8S ribosomal RNA", at positions 103 to 154 of the family's 154-position model. Lineage: Eukaryota; Fungi; Basidiomycota; Agaricomycetes; Agaricales; Hygrophoraceae. RNAcentral also lists the same sequence under 2 other names. The record is from RNAcentral.
AACGCACCUUGCGCUCCUUGGUAUUCCGAGGAGCAUGCCUGUUUGAGUGUCAUUAAAUUAUCAACCUCUUCAAGAGGCUUGGAUUUGGAGUGUUGCUGGCUUGUUGUUGGCUCCUCUUAAAUGAAUUAAGCUUGUGUGUAGGCUUUGGUUUGAUAAUAUCUAUGCCAUCGCUGCAAUGCAAAACAACCUUGAAAUUUGACCUCAAAUCAGGUAGGACUACCCGCUGAACUUAA